Molecule: ribosomal RNA, 253 nt
Filed under: uncultured bacterium
Lineage: Bacteria
Description: partial 16S ribosomal RNA
Rfam family: Bacterial small subunit ribosomal RNA
Source: RNAcentral
UACAGAGGUCCCGAGCGUUGUUCGGAUUCACUGGGCGUAAAGGGUGCGUAGGUGGUGAGGUAAGUCGGAUGUGAAAUCUCCGGGCUCAACCCGGAAAUGGCAUUGGAAACUACCUUGCUGGAGGAUUUGAGGGGGGAUUGGAAUACUUGGUGUAGCAGUGAGAUGCGUAGAUAUCAAGUGGAACACCAGUGGCGAAGGCGAAUCCCUGGAAAAUACCUGACACUGAGGCACGAAAGCUAGGGGAGCAAACAGG